Molecule: unclassified non-coding RNA, 392 nt
Filed under: soil metagenome
Description: partial contains 5.8S ribosomal RNA, internal transcribed spacer 2, and large subunit ribosomal RNA
Rfam family: 5.8S ribosomal RNA (bases 1-122)
Source: RNAcentral
GAUGAAGAACGCAGCGAAAUGAGAUACUUGGUGUGAAUUGCAGAAUCCCGUGAACCAUCGAGUCUUUGAACGCAAGUUGCGCCCGAAGCCACUAGGCCGAGGGCACGCCUGCCUGGGCGUCACACGUCGUUGCCCCCCACCAUCUACUCCUUCGGGAUUGCGGGGGGCGGAUGAUGGCCUCCCGUGCGCCUAGCCGCGCGGUUGGCAUAAAUACCAAGUCCUCGGCGACGCACGCCACGACAAUCGGUGGUUGCGAAACCUCGGUUGCCCGUCGUGUGCGUUCGUCGCGCAUCGAGGGCUCGAAAAAAUGUUCGGCUCCGGCUCGGCUUUCAACGCGACCCCAGGUCAGGUGGGGUUACCCGCUGAAUUUAAGCAUAUCAAUAAGCGGAGGA